This 370-nucleotide unclassified non-coding RNA is filed under the name uncultured Flavobacteriaceae bacterium. RNAcentral describes it as "contains 16S-23S intergenic spacer region". Lineage: Bacteria; Pseudomonadati; Bacteroidota; Flavobacteriia; Flavobacteriales; Flavobacteriaceae. The record is from RNAcentral.
UCACAGUUUGCACUGGCAGUCUUGCUAGAGUUCCCGACAUGACUCGCUGGCAACUAACAACAGGGGUUGCGCUCGUUAUAGGACUUAACCUGACACCUCACGGCACGAGCUGACGACAACCAUGCAGCACCUUGUAAAUUGUCCGAAGAAAAAACUGUUUCCAGUCCUGUCAAUCUACAUUUAAGCCUUGGUAAGGUUCCUCGCGUAUCAUCGAAUUAAACCACAUGCUCCACCGCUUGUGCGGGCCCCCGUCAAUUCCUUUGAGUUUCAUUCUUGCGAACGUACUCCCCAGGUGGGAUACUUAUCACUUUCGCUUAGCCACUCAGAUUGCUCCGAACAGCUAGUAUCCAUCGUUUACGGCGUGGACUAC